GACGAACGCUGGCGGCGUGCUUAACACAUGCAAGUCGAACGGAAAGGCCCUGCUUGCAGGGUGCUCGAGUGGCGAACGGGUGAGUAACACGUGGGUGAUCUGCCCCUUACUUUGGGAUAAGCCUGGGAAACUGGGUCUAAUACUGGAUAGGACCAUGCUGUAGGUGGUGUGGUGGAAAGAUUAGUUUCGGUAAGGGAUGAGCUCGCGGCCUAUCAGCUUGUUGGUGGGGUAAUGGCCUACCAAGGCGUCGACGGGUAGCCGGCCUGAGAGGGUGGACGGCCACAUUGGGACUGAGAUACGGCCCAGACUCCUACGGGAGGCAGCAGUGGGGAAUAGUGCACAAUGGGCGCAAGCCUGAUGCAGCGACGCCGCGGGGGGGAUGACGGCCUUCGGGUUGUAAACUCCUUUCAGCCAUGACGAAGCCCUUGUGGUGACGGUAGUGGUAGAAGAAGCACCGGCUAACUACGUG
This 469-nucleotide ribosomal RNA is filed under the name uncultured bacterium. RNAcentral describes it as "partial 16S ribosomal RNA". It matches the Rfam family "Bacterial small subunit ribosomal RNA", at positions 28 to 507 of the family's 1533-position model. The record is from RNAcentral.